UGAAAUGAAUCAAACUUGAAUUCGUCGGUUAAUUAAGUUAAAGUGAAAGCCCACAGCUUAACUGUGGAACAGCUUCUAAAACUGAUUAACUAGAGUCUGGGAGAGGAAGAUGGAAUUAGUAGUGUAGGGGUAAAAUCCGUAGAGAUUACUAGGAAUACCGAAAGCGAAGGCGAUCUUCUGGAACAGUACUGACGCUGAGAUGCGAAAGCGUGGGGAGCAAACAGGAUUAGAUACCCUGGUAGUCCACGCCCUAAACGAUGAAUGUUAGUCGUUGGAGUGCUAGCCACUUCAGUGAUGCAGCUAACGCAUUAAACAUUCCGCCUGGGGAGUACGGCCGCAAGGUUAAAACUCAAAGGAAUAGACGGGGACCCGCACAAGUGGUGGAGCAUGUGGUUUAAUUCGAAGAUACGCGAAGAACCUUACCUGGCCUUGACAUAUACCAGAACCUACCAGAGAUGGUGGGGUGCCUUUGGGAACUGGUAUACAGGUGCUGCACGGCUGUCGUCAGCUCGUGUCGUGAGAUGUUGGGUUAAGUCCCGCAACGAGCGCAACCCUCGUGACUAGUUACUAACAGCAUAGGCUGAGGACUCUAGUCAGACUGCCUUCGUAAGGAGGAGGAAGGUGGGGACGACGUCAAGUCAUCAUGGCCCUUACGGCCAGGGCGACACACGUGCUACAAUGGGGAGGACAAUGAGAAGCGAAAUCGCGAGAUGGAGCAAAUCUAUAAACCCUCUCUCAGUCGGAUUGGAACCUGCAACCUCGACCUACCAAUGAAAGCUGGGAAAUCACUAGUAAUCGGGAAUAAGCCCAUGUCACCGGGAUACCGUUCCCGGGCUUUGACCUAACCGGCCCGGACACCAUGGGAGGUGAUUAACCCCAAAGCCGGGAUGCUUAAAAGGGACCGCACCGGGGAAUUCGAACGGGGAAACAAAAGGGACCCGGAAACCGGGG
Molecule: ribosomal RNA, 951 nt
Filed under: epibiont metagenome
Description: bacterial SSU rRNA
Rfam family: Bacterial small subunit ribosomal RNA
Source: RNAcentral